GGGACUAUAGUUAAAAAUAACAUUUGAGUUGCAUUCAAAAAGUGCUGCACGGUAGCUAGCCUCA
This 64-nucleotide transfer RNA is filed under the name Heterotermes malabaricus. RNAcentral describes it as "tRNA-Ala". The record is from RNAcentral. Lineage: Eukaryota; Metazoa; Arthropoda; Insecta; Blattodea; Rhinotermitidae.